Molecule: long non-coding RNA, 824 nt
Organism: Lutra lutra (Eurasian river otter)
Lineage: Eukaryota; Metazoa; Chordata; Mammalia; Carnivora; Mustelidae
Exons: 4
Source: RefSeq, a predicted model, not a curated record
AACGUAGUGAUGGAUUUGUGAGGUGGUGCUCAUCCCCCACCCUCUGCUUAUGUCCAAGAGUGCCCAGUUAUUUCUAAGGCUAAGGUUGAGGGAGGGACACGUUACAAGGUUUCAGGACAGAGGUAAAGCAGAUACAAUUCAGUGAACCAAAAUCAGAAGAGAGCUGAGUCUGUUUCCGCUUCAGCUCUAUAUUAAUCAAUUCUACAUUUGGCCAGGAAGACCCACUAGAACAAAUUUUGGUAUACCACCCACUAGGAUCUCUCAUUGCAUUUUCAGAGAACUCGGUGUCUCAAAUUUUGUAGGUAUGGUUUCUACAACAGAGAAACGAGGAUUCAUUCCCUCUAUCUCAUGACUGGAAUGGCCAGUGACAUCUCCCAAGCUCCCAGAAAAAGGAAGAGCCAUAGCCCUGCUGACGUGCCUUCUGUCCUAUGGAUAUGGAACAAAUGCCCAGUGUUCCAGAGACUGCUUAUUCUUCACCGGAACACAAUGGAAAAGCAGAUGGAGGUCGAAAUUGAAUUGCUGCUGACUGUUGUCCCUUGUUAUGGCCUGUGGAGAUAUGACAAUUGAGGAAGAACUUAGAGGAAUGCCAAGUAGCAGAGCAUGAAGCAGUGGGUGUGACCCACUGCCUUGGACAUUUUAUGGCUGAUAGCAUUUGGCAAGAAAAAGCCUGCAGCCUCUAUAGUGGUCUUGCAAAUAGAUCUCAACAUUAACCAUGCCCUCACCCAUAUUUGAUUUGCCCUGUAAUAUAUGCAUUUGCCAAAAUCCACUCUUCUAAUUGUCAGCUAACUCACUAGUCCCCUCACAAAAUACCUAAAAUAACUAAA